AUUUAUUUAGUAUAACAAGUAUAUUUAACUUCCAAUUAAAUGGUUUAAAUAAUUUAAAAUAAAUA
This 65-nucleotide transfer RNA is filed under the name Sahlbergotettix salicicola. RNAcentral's name for it is "tRNA-Gly". The record is from RNAcentral. Lineage: Eukaryota; Metazoa; Arthropoda; Insecta; Hemiptera; Cicadellidae.